Molecule: ribosomal RNA, 433 nt
Filed under: uncultured bacterium
Lineage: Bacteria
Description: partial 16S ribosomal RNA
Rfam family: Bacterial small subunit ribosomal RNA
Source: RNAcentral
AGCGAACGCUGGCGGCAGGCCUAACACAUGCAAGUCGAACGAACUCUUCGGAGUUAGUGGCGGACGGGUGAGUAACACGUGGGAACGUGCCUUUUGGUUCGGAAUAACUCAGGGAAACUUGUGCUAAUACCGAAUGUGCCCUUCGGGGGAAAGAUUUAUCGCCAUUAGAGCGGCCCGCGUCUGAUUAGCUAGUUGGUGAGGUAACGGCUCACCAAGGCGACGAUCAGUAGCUGGUCUGAUAGGAUGACCAGCUACACUGGGACUGAGACACGGCCCAGACUCCUACGGGAGGCAGCAGUGGGGAAUCUUGCGCAAUGGGCGAAAGCCUGACGCAGCCAUGCCGCGUGAAUGAUGAAGGUCCUAGGAUUGUAAAAUUCUUUCACCGGGGACGAUAAUGACGGUACCCGGAGAAGAAGCCCCGGCUAACUUCGUG